RNAcentral lists this non-coding RNA (271 nucleotides) under anaerobic digester metagenome. Its description in RNAcentral is "T-box". It matches the Rfam family "T-box leader". Rfam says of the family: Uncharged tRNA acts as the effector for transcription antitermination of genes in the T-box leader family. T-boxes are found upstream of many aminoacyl-tRNA synthetase genes and some amino acid biosynthetic genes usually in Gram-positive bacteria. The record is from RNAcentral.
AAAAUGACAAUGACAGGGAAUAGUAGGCGUUAUUGUUUAAAGCCUGGUUCAGAGAGCCGCUGUUUGGUGCAAAGCGGUCGAAGGCAGAUGUUGAACUCUCCCUGGAGUAGCCGACCGAAAUCCAAUGGAAAGUAGGCCCGGACGGAUGCUUCCACCGUUAAAAGGAAGGGGAUAUCGGAUCAUUUAUGAAGCAUCCCGUAUCCGCAAAGGGAACGGCCACAAGGCCGUUAAGUUGAGUGGUACCGCGGAAGACAGGCCUUUCGUCUCAGAA